Molecule: long non-coding RNA, 488 nt
Organism: Drosophila elegans
Lineage: Eukaryota; Metazoa; Arthropoda; Insecta; Diptera; Drosophilidae
Exons: 2
Source: RefSeq, a predicted model, not a curated record
ACAAAUAAACACACACACAUUAAACUAUCUAUUAAUCAUUUAAUAGUCAUCCAAAUUAUUAAGAAUUUAGCAGUAGUUAAUUUUAAGCCCGCAACCGCCUUUUGAUUGACCAAAUAAUAACAAAUACAAAAAACAACCACACACACACACUCAAUAAGUCGGCUUACUCACACCGCUUUUGGCCGUUUUCCUGCGACUCUUACCAAAUCGUCAAUUCUUUAUCAAUUCGACCAGUUCAGCCACUUAAACGAAAUGCAAAUCCAAUUCCCAGAGCAGCGGAAUAGGCGGACAGGUGGUUAACUCAACGGAUUAAGACAUUUCACGGUGGCGAGAAAUAUGCAGUUUAAUUGUAAUGGCAAUGGCCAUAUGGCUUGGAACGAUUUACAGCAAUUUAAUUAAUCUAGUAAUAUCAUGUUCCUUUGAAAAUAAGGGUUUUACAAAUAAAUGUACAUGAUUUAAAAUAGAAAUAAAACCAAAAGAUAAGGGUA